GAGCGUAGACGGUGUGGCAAGUCUGAUGUGAAAGGCAUGGGCUCAACCUGUGGACUGCAUUGGAAACUGUCAUACUUGAGUGCCGGAGGGGUAAGCGGAAUUCCUAGUGUAGCGGUGAAAUGCGUAGAUAUUAGGAGGAACACCAGUGGCGAAGGCGGCUGUCUGGUCUGUAACUGACGCUGAGGCUCGAAAGCAUGGGUAGCGAACA
RNAcentral lists this ribosomal RNA (208 nucleotides) under uncultured bacterium. RNAcentral describes it as "partial 16S ribosomal RNA". It matches the Rfam family "Bacterial small subunit ribosomal RNA", at positions 567 to 774 of the family's 1533-position model. The record is from RNAcentral.